RNAcentral lists this non-coding RNA (35 nucleotides) under marine eukaryotic metagenome. RNAcentral describes it as "DUF805b RNA". It matches the Rfam family "DUF805b RNA". From Rfam's summary of the family: Bacteroidetes, Chlorobi (1 example), Proteobacteria. The record is from RNAcentral.
ACGGCGGAAACCGAAAAGCCUUAAAUAGAGUAGGU